UAGGGAAUCUUCCACAAUGGGCGAAAGCCUGAUGGAGCAACGCCGCGUGUGUGAUGAAGGGUUUCGGCUACGUAAAACACUGUUGUAAGAGAAGAAUGACAUUGAGAGUAACUGUUCAAUGUGUGACGGUAUCUUACCAGAAAGGAACGGCUAAAUACGUGCCAG
Molecule: ribosomal RNA, 165 nt
Filed under: uncultured bacterium
Lineage: Bacteria
Description: partial 16S rRNA
Rfam family: Bacterial small subunit ribosomal RNA
Source: RNAcentral